Molecule: ribosomal RNA, 496 nt
Filed under: uncultured bacterium
Lineage: Bacteria
Description: partial 16S ribosomal RNA
Rfam family: Bacterial small subunit ribosomal RNA
Source: RNAcentral
AUGAACGCUGGCGGCGUGCCUCAUACAUGCAAGUCGAGCGAACAGACGAGGAGCUUGCUCCUCUGACGUUAGCGGCGGACGGGUGAGUAACACGUGGAUAACCUACCUAUAAGACUGGGAUAACUUCGGGAAACCGGAGCUAAUACCGGAUAAUAUAUUGAACCGCAUGGUUCAAUAGUGAAAGACGGUUUUGCUGUCACUUAUAGAUGGAUCCGCGCCGCAUUAGCUAGUUGGUAAGGUACCGGCUUACCAAGGCAACGAUGCGUAGCCGACCUGAGAGGGUGAUCGGCCACACGGGAACUGAGACACGGUCCAGACUCCUACGGGAGGCAGCAGUAGGGAAUCUUCCGCAAUGGGCGAAAGCCUGACGGAGCAACGCCGCGUGAGUGAUGAAGGUCUUCGGAUCGUAAAACUCUGUUAUUAGGGAAGAACAAAUGUGUAAGUAACUAUGCACGUCUUGACGGUACCUAAUCAGAAAGCCACGGCUAACUACGUG